UAGUUAUUUAAUUUAUACAAAAUAUUUACCUUGAAAGUAAAACAAGAAUUUAUUUCUGUAACU
RNAcentral lists this transfer RNA (63 nucleotides) under Trioza urticae. RNAcentral's name for it is "tRNA-Ser". Lineage: Eukaryota; Metazoa; Arthropoda; Insecta; Hemiptera; Triozidae. The record is from RNAcentral.